RNAcentral lists this ribosomal RNA (448 nucleotides) under uncultured bacterium. RNAcentral describes it as "partial 16S ribosomal RNA". It matches the Rfam family "Bacterial small subunit ribosomal RNA", at positions 29 to 523 of the family's 1533-position model. The record is from RNAcentral.
AACGAACGCUGGCGGCAUACCUAACACAUGCAAGUCGAACGAGAUCUUCGGGUCUAGUGGCGCACGGGUGCGUAACGCGUGGGAAUCUGCCCUUUGGUUCGGAAUAACAGUUGGAAACGACUACUAAUACCGGAUGAUGACUAAAGUCCAAAGAUUUAUCGCCAGGGGAUGAGCCCGCGUAGGAUUAGCUAGUUGGUGUGGUAAGGCGCACCAAGGCGACGAUCCUUAGCUGGUCUGAGAGGAUGAUCAGCCACACUGGGACUGAGACACGGCCCAGACUCCUACGGGAGGCAGCAGUGGGGAAUAUUGGACAAUGGGCGAAAGCCUGAUCCAGCAAUGCCGCGUGAGUGAUGAAGGCCUUAGGGUUGUAAAGCUCUUUUACCCGGGAUGAUAAUGACAGUACCGGGAGAAUAAGCUCCGGCUAACUCCGUGCCAGCCGCCGCCGUAA